GUAUAUUCGUGAAUUUAACAUUGUUCCCUACAAAUUUCGACAUUUUCGUCGUUCGAAAAUGGUAGGAAUUCCUUUUGGAUAGCAAACGAGUUCGAGGGAGGAAACCGUUUUCGUUCGCCGUGCUCGUCCCUCGAUUAUCGCCAGCCGAAGGAGCAGGGAGGCGCUCGUCGAAGGAUGAAAUGAUGGCCGUACUGCGGAGUCAUCGGUUUUAAUUGCAAUUUAAAUAUUGAAUUAUGAUACCGUGUACCGAGAGACUCUCGCGGCGCUUCGGUUGCUUUUAAACCGUGGUGCUUGCAAAUUGUUGAUGGAUCCCGCGAGCCGCGAUGUUAUUAAUUACUCGUUGUUCGAUGACUGUUAGCCUGUUGGUGAAAGUCGUGACGUCCCGUCAGCCAGAGGUAAAUUAAUAAAGUGACGCCGCGAUUAAUAUGGUAAUACGGAAGGUGGACGCGAGUCGCGCUACAAGUCAUUUUAUUCACCUAUAAGAGACGAAUCAAAUCGAAUGAGUAUACGUUUACGUCGACUAUCGCGUUAUGGAAACGUAGGUGUCGAGAUUUUUUUUAAUCAAGAAUUCCUGUGCUUGGAAUAGAAGAGUUCUAUCGCAACAAUUUUCAAUUAUUUAUGAUCGCAUUUAAACAUUUCUUGGAACAAGCUGUUCCAAAGUGUCCAUACAACAGUACAAACAGAAUUUUUAUAAUAAGACUAGCAGAUAUUUCUGCUGGGCAUAAAACGAAUACAUAAACCAAUUGCCUGUAACAGUGUACCGUUGCGAAGUGCUAUCUCUUCCAAUCCAAAUCGUCCUCGAUUCCGAAUGAAUCACAAGACUCUUGCCGAGUUUGUACACACUGCGCGCAUCUCAUUCGAUCGUCAUGAAUAUUCACAGCCGGUUUCUACGUACGAGUCAAUAAGCAUCAAAACGGCCGCGAACGUCUCAUAAAUUCAUCGAGUGAAAUCAUAAGGAGUGUUUGCGAUUCUACUUCCUGUCGACUCUAAUACCAUCCACGCAAUCUUCUACGAAAGAAACACAGCGUCGCGUACACGCUGUUCGUCUUCGUGGGUGAGGUCACCCACUCCUCGAAGGAACCGUGCUGGAAGGAUCAUGAUCAGGAUUGUUUAGAAGCGAUUGGGCUGAUUCAUCGCUUGAUUUUUCGAUGACGGUACCUAGGUUCAUUGGACUUCUUCGGUAGCGAAGUUCCAGUUUGUGGAUUCCGAAGAAGUCUUCUCUUCAUUUUGUCUUCAAUUUGCCUCGUCGAGGAAGGCCUCGUCGACUUUGGGAACCUUCAUUCCUGCUACAAUAUGCGGCAGCCGUCACCAGGAAACCAUAAGGACGUGCUACAUCGUGGAAUCGUUGUCAAGAGAACCACUUCGAACGCUCGCUUCUUUUGAUCGCUUCCCGCGCGCGCGAGCGCUCACGCAACGUUGGUUCCUCUCCGAGUUGUCCACGAUGGUUAAGCAGGAAUGUUUUAAUUGCCGUCGAUGCAUCGCGGUAGCUGGCUGGGUAAAAGCUGAGGGAGGAAGAAUGCCUUGGACCAGUGACUCUUAACCAUCCUGCUCUGCGACGCGACGCCCUAGAUACUGCUUUAACGACCUGGGGAAUAUUCAUCUUUUACUAAAAUUCAUGGUUAAGAGCUGUACCCGAUUUAUGCGUUGCAAGGCCCAAGUUUUUGGGUUCAUAUCGAGCUAUUAUAACUAUUCCAUUCACAUAACUUGGGAUGCUGUAAAAGAUCUCCUGAUGCACGCUACGAAAAGAGAACGCCACAGCUGACUGGUUAAUGCAUGAACCAUCCAUUAAAAAUUAUUCCUAAUUCAACAAAUGGAACGUACUGGUCACAAAGACUCACAGUCAUAGAAUUGCAAGGCCAUUUCAAGGUCAGGUAGAUCCACCAAGAGAGCCAAUUUGUAUUCCUGCUCAACCCAGAUACAACCGACGCACACCUUUCGACCGCAAUAACGAAUGUCUUGUGAAAAUGUCCACGUGCGAAAUUUAAUUUUUAAGACGAGUGGGGGAAAUACAAAUUCCUCGGAGAACCGCGCAGGUAAUGCAAUAUCCGUUACGCGGUACGUGUUCGCCAGCGGCCGAUUUCCCGGCUGCGGUCAGCCUGAUUUUUCCACGCUCGGAAAAUCGUGUCACGUUCUCCCGACGAUACUUUUUUGGCUAGAACAUUCAAAUUUCACGGAGUGGCCAGAAAUAGCGGGAUUACGACGGCCGAGCGAUAGCGCGGAUUAACAUUCACCCCGACGAUCGUGCGAGGUAUUUCGAUAAUUCGACGGAGACGUGUCGUCGAUCGUGAUCGGCGAGCGAAUUCGCGAAACGAGGUGAGCAGUGUGUCGAACCGAUGUCCCACGGAACAUCGAUGUCACAGGACCUCUCCUCUUCCUCUCUCUCUACCGUGAUCACAUAACGUAGGCCCCUCGCACAUACUUAAUGAAAGGAAUCUCUGAGAAUGAACGACCGCUCUCGGUCGAUUAUUCUCCGCGAAUACUCGGAUCGAAGUUCUGUCACGAACCGUCGAUUUCCUUCAUUUCGCGUGCUCCGAACCUCGCCACUUAUGCCGGUAAUCGAAAAAACCUUCCUGCUUUCAACAGGACAUUCGCAAGAACACAGACAAGGAUCCAGGCGUCAAUAUCCAUGUAUAAUACUACUAAAAUUUAUUCAAAUUACUCAAUGUACCAUAAUGAAUGUUUGUACAAAAUGCGAAAACAUCAUGUUAUGUAUUCAAAUCAUAUUUAGCUUAUCAAUAAACGAU
Long non-coding RNA from Hylaeus anthracinus, 2744 nucleotides. RefSeq lists it as uncharacterized. NCBI's taxonomy places the organism in Eukaryota, Metazoa, Arthropoda, Insecta, Hymenoptera, Colletidae. The transcript is spliced from 6 exons. The record is from RefSeq and is a predicted model, not a curated record.